UAGUCCACGCAGUAAACGAUGAAUACUUGAUGUAGGAGGUAUCGACCCCUUCUGUGUCGAAGUUAACGUAUUAAGUAUUCCACCUGGGGAGUACGACCGCAAGGUUGAAACUCAAAGGAAUUGACGGGGACCCGCACAAGCGGUGGAGUAUGUGGUUUAAUUCGAGGCAACGCGAAGAACCUUACCAAGGCUUGACAUCAUUUUGAAAAUUGCCAGAGAUAGCGAUCCUUCCCUUCGGGGACAGAAUGAC
This 250-nucleotide ribosomal RNA is filed under the name uncultured bacterium. RNAcentral's name for it is "partial 16S ribosomal RNA". It matches the Rfam family "Bacterial small subunit ribosomal RNA", at positions 791 to 1035 of the family's 1533-position model. The record is from RNAcentral.